CCCUUAGAUGUUCUGGGCCGCACACGCGCUACACUGAAGGAGGCAGCGUGUACUCCUGGAUCGAAAGAUUUGGGUAACCCGCGAAUCUCCUUCGUGCUAGGGAUUGAGGUUUGCAAUUAUCCUUCAUGAACGAGGAAUUCCCAGUAAGUGCAAGUCAUAAGCUUUCGCUGACUACGUCCCUGCCCUUUGUACACACCGCCCGUCGCUACUACCGAUUGAAUGAUUUAGUGAGGACUUCGGACUGGGACCGAUGCGGCUUUCGGGCUGCGUCGGUAUUCUGGAAAGAUGUCCAAACUGUAUCAUUUAGAGGAAGUAAAAGUCGUAACA
Molecule: ribosomal RNA, 327 nt
Filed under: uncultured eukaryote
Lineage: Eukaryota
Description: partial 18S ribosomal RNA
Rfam family: Eukaryotic small subunit ribosomal RNA
Source: RNAcentral